CUCGUUACCUCUAAAAGUAGUGGAAUUACAGUAAUGCGUUACUUUGUAACGUAAUGCGUUACUUUGUAACGCAUUACUUUGUAACGCAUUACUCCCAACACUGCUUAUAUCGAGACACUGAUCAUCGUGAUGCCAACAUCAGUGAUACUAAGACUUAUAUCACAACAGCUGUCAUCCACUGCACUGUCGUCACAGGGUUGUGGGUGCAGUAAAUAUGUGUGUGUUGGUUUACAUGUAGUGACUCCUGGUUUGUAACUCGUGCUGCUGUACUUCAGCUAUUUGAUCACUUUGCUCUUCUGCUGUGAAAAUGUCAGUUCAAUGCAGCUGCCGUCCGUGGCCGACGAUCUGUUCCGUUUUGUUCUUCUUUCUAAGGCCCUCCGAUAAACCUGAGGCCCUUUGUCUCUGAAGCUUCAUCAGUAUGUCUCUGCAUGUGUCUCUCUGUCCCACAGGGUGUGUCCUAUUAACUGUUAAGGACAAGCUAUUGUGGGAGGAAAUGACUCCUUUCGCCUCGCAUCUUUCAUCCUCUUGCUGCCACAUCGGCUGCACUCCGCACUCCAUCUCCUCCAUUUCUCCUUCCUCUGCUUCUCCGCUAUCCUUCAUUCCUUCCCUCAAUCCCUCCACCUCAACACCAACUCCGUCAUGCCCUCCUCCUCUCUUCUCUUACUCCUUUACCCUCUCAUUACUCACUCGCCUCCUUUGUUUCCCUUUACCAACAAGACAGUGUGUGUGUGUGUGUGUGUGUGUGUACACGUGUGCAUUUAUUACACAGCAGGAUAUUACAAAGCCGCACUGGCUUCCUUUGCACUGUGGCCUUAAGCAAUGUAAUGAUGCCGGGGAGCAAUUUGCACAUGUGAUCUCCUCCAGCAUCAGGAGAGACAGCACACACUUUCUCCAUGACAUAUUUGCUAUAAAACAAACUAGCAAUUGUUAACACGGUGGAAAGAUAGCUAUGAAAACCAAAAACACAAGCAGCCACAGGAAGUAAUCUGUCAGUUGUCUGAUACUGCAAGCGUAAGAUGGAUGAUUAUUGGGGUGUGCAUCUGUCUAGAAUGACAAAUUCAAUGGAGUGUGAGCAGGGCAGAGAAUAAAGGGCGUAAAACCUCAACAUUAAACCGCUGUGGACUUGGUCUUGGCGGCAUUGUCUCAAAGCUUUUAGCCAUUUUUCUAUUUUGACAUCAAAAAGUAGUAUCU
Gasterosteus aculeatus aculeatus (three-spined stickleback) is the source of this 1191-nucleotide long non-coding RNA. The record is from Ensembl. NCBI's taxonomy places the organism in Eukaryota, Metazoa, Chordata, Actinopteri, Perciformes, Gasterosteidae.